RNA transcript from Spinacia oleracea (spinach), 767 nucleotides. It is a transcript of the gene named vacuolar protein sorting-associated protein 32 homolog 2-like, with no coding region annotated. The transcript has 5 exons. The record is from RefSeq and is a predicted model, not a curated record. Lineage: Eukaryota; Viridiplantae; Streptophyta; Magnoliopsida; Caryophyllales; Amaranthaceae.
UAGGGAAACUGCUGUAGUUUAAGAUGUUGAUACACAAGAGAUGCUCCAUGUCCAGUUUGAACAAAUAGCUGAAUAUGUUGGAGAUCCAAGCGACACUGGUUAUUAAAUAAGGAUGUGGUAUUUAAUCCAGUAUUGCAAGGAGCCUUUUGUUGCUAGCUGGUUUGAUUCGCUUGGUGGUUUCAUUGGUGUUCGCGCUUCAAUUAGGAUCAAGUUUGAGCAUAUCACUUGGCAGCAGAAAUUUUCAAUUGACUUGGAUAAUCAAGGGAAUAUCUCCUGUCUCAAACAGGUCAUUGUUGCUGUCAAUAUAUCUUAUAAUUAUAACGUGCUUCCAUAUCUAAAUGAAUAUUGAUGACGUGGACCAGACAAUGGAUGAGAUCAACAAGCAGACCUAUAAUUUAAGACAGAUACGGGAGGCACUAGCUUCUCAUAUUGGUGGUGCAGCUGAUUUUGACGAGGAUGAAUUGGAAGCCGAGCUUGAAGAACUUGAAGGAGCUGAGUUGGAAGAACAACUUCUGCAGCCAGCUAUCACUGCCCCUAUAGCACCAAUUAAGGCCAUCCGAACUUAAUUUCACUUAUCUGAAUUUACUAAACUUAUUUUGUAUGAAGUAAGUCAACAAAACAGGGCCUUAUAAAGGUUUGACAUUUUCUUUGUACAGUCGUCUUAACUUUCAAUUUACUGCCAAGUUAUCCUAGAGGUACCUCGGAAUUUAUAACAUGGCCUUGUCUGUUGGCUGAAAAUGAAAUAGGGAUAGAUUUUAUAAUGAACA